AACGCUAGCGGCAGGCUUAAUACAUGCAAGUUGAGGGGCAGCAUGAUAUACGCGAGUAUAUUGAUGGCGACCGGCGGACGGGUGAGUAAUAGGUAGGAGACCUACCUCAUACAGGGGGAUAGCAUAGAGAAAUCUGUGGUAAUACCCCAUGAGGUUAUAUGAAUAGAGGCAUAUAAUCAAAGCAUAAGCGAUUAUGCGGUAUGAGAGGGGCCUACUGACCAUUAGCUAGUUGGUGAGGUAAGGGCUCACCAAGGCGAAGAUGGUUAGGGGUUUUGAGAGAGAGACCCCCCACAUUGGAACUGAGAGACGGUCCAGACUCCUACGGGAGGCAGCAGUAGGGAAUAUUGGGCAAUGGGCGAAAGCCUGACCCAGCCAUGCCGCGUGAAGGAAGACGGCCUUAUGGGUUGUAAACUUCUUUACUAUGCGACUAACUAGAUUUACGAGAUAAUUCUAUAGAAUGUAGCAUAGCAAAAAGCACCGGCUAACUCCGUG
RNAcentral lists this ribosomal RNA (492 nucleotides) under uncultured bacterium. RNAcentral's name for it is "bacterial SSU rRNA". It matches the Rfam family "Bacterial small subunit ribosomal RNA", at positions 32 to 507 of the family's 1533-position model. The record is from RNAcentral.